UCGCAACGGGUUUGCCGCCAGAACACAGGUGCCGUGAAAAUCACCCAUAAAAGCUAAAAUGGGGAAGGAAAAGACCCACGUCAACAUCGUCAUCAUCAGACACGUAGAUUCGGGCAAGUCCACCACUACUGGGCAUCUUAUCUACAAAUGUGGUGGGAUCGACAAAAGAACCAUCGAAAAAUUUGAGGAGGCCGCUGAAAUGGGAAAGGGCUCCUUCAAGUAUGCGUGGGUCUUGGAUAAACUGAAAGCUGAGCAUGAGCGUGGUGUCACCAUUGAUAUCUCCCUGUGGAGAUUUGAGACCAGCAAAUAUUAUGUGACUGUUAUUGACGCCCCAGGACACAGAGACUUUAUCAAAAACAUGAUUACAGGCACAUCUCAGGCUGACUGUGCUGUCCUGAUUGUUGCUGCUGGUGUUGGUGAAUUUGAAGCUGGUAUCUCAAAGAAUGGGCAGACCCGUGAGCAUGCCCUUCUGGCUUACACACUAGGUGUGAAACAACUAAUUGUUGGUGUUAACAAAAUGGAUUCCACUGAGCCUCCCUACAGCCAGAAGAGAUAUGAGGAAAUUGUUAAAGAAGUCAGCACUUACAUUAAGAAAAUUGGCUACAACCCUGACACACAGAUUUGGCCAUUUUGGCUGGAUGGUGACAACAUUUUGAGCCAGUGCUAA
Non-coding RNA from Microcebus murinus (gray mouse lemur), 667 nucleotides. The record is from RefSeq and is a predicted model, not a curated record. NCBI's taxonomy places the organism in Eukaryota, Metazoa, Chordata, Mammalia, Primates, Cheirogaleidae.